AGAUUGUCUUUGCAGCAUGCACGACUCUCCAGCAUUUUUUCUCGGAUUGACCGCUAGGUUUUGACUCCUGCUUGCAUCUGACUACGUCUUCUCAUCUCUGCCCUUGGAUCCCCUGUUAAGUUUCUCCACUCCUGUGAGUACUUCAGGUUUCGCUGUGUUGCCGGUUCCAUGACCUACUGCCUCUCCACGACUAUCUCUCUGUCUUUUCCCUCUGGGUUUAGUCUGCCCCGCUGACUGUCUGCCAGGUUUUGACAUUGCCUUUGCUUCAACCUAGAGCCCAGCCUGCCCCUCAACGGUGCCUCCGCACUUCUCAAAGACUCUCGGGUGUAGUGUGUUUUUCCGGGAGCACUCACCUGUCAGCUUGUUGAAUCUGUUUCCUGUGGAUCUGUUCCCUGUUGAUUUUGGAGUUUCUGCAAAGACUGCUAAAUUUGAACUUUCUUAAAUCUCAGCGGGUCCUCCACUGUUGAUACCUACAUCGAUGUUUACCUAAGUCUUGUCCAGUCUACCUCCUUUUUUGAGUGCCUGUGUUUUUUUUUGACAAGUCUUUGGAAUUUUGGUUGUUGUCUUUUGAGCAUGGGCAGUUUUUAAUUGCAGCUCGACUUAACUGCAUGUAAGUGUACUGAAUGCCAUUUUGGGACAUUUGACUUGGGGCUUCAAACCCCAACUCCUAACUCCUACUACUUUGACUUGGGGCUUCAAACCCCAACUCCUAACUCCUACUACCACUUACACAGUAAAAAAGGGGAUCAGGGGCAAUGGAUUUAUUCAGUGUUUGAGGUCUGUCACUGAAAAUGAAUUAGGAUAAAUUGAUGGUAUUACUCUUAAAGCUGCGCUACUGGGAUUGUGUAAAUUACUUUGCGAUUGAGAAAUAAGACGAUGUCAGUCACUGGAUAAAAGACUCUCUG
Non-coding RNA from Xyrichtys novacula (pearly razorfish), 905 nucleotides. Lineage: Eukaryota; Metazoa; Chordata; Actinopteri; Labriformes; Labridae. The record is from the annotation of a GenBank genome assembly.